Ictalurus furcatus (blue catfish) is the source of this 2302-nucleotide non-coding RNA. Lineage: Eukaryota; Metazoa; Chordata; Actinopteri; Siluriformes; Ictaluridae. The record is from the annotation of a RefSeq genome assembly.
GGUCCCGGUAAGAGUGGGAUUAAACACGGAAAUUUUAUUCCGAAAGAGAAUCGGCUAUGUUCGCAUUCUGACCUCUAGUAGUAUAGUGGAAAUGCAGUGACUAGAAAUUGAUUUCUUUUUGACUGUUCUACACAGACACUCUGUAGUGUUCAGUAUGAGCACGGUCAUGAGUUCUGCACCACUUCCUGUCCCAAUUAUGGUCACUUUGUCCUGUUUAGUCAAAAGAGUGAGGUUAAAAGCGUAGAUAUUUAAACAUUAAGUACACAAAAAAAAGUAUUUCUACUUUGUUACUUCACAUCUGUCGAAAUUUCGUACGGAAAGCAGAGGUCUAUAGAUGGAGUCCCCAGAGAUGAGAUUUACAUAGUUUCCAUUCAUGCAGGCAUCACUUCUCGUAACGGUUCAUCUCAUUUGAUUUGUGUGUGUGUGUGUGUGUGUGUGUGUGUGUGUGCGCGUGCAGGGGGAGGAGAGCUUGUAUGCAAGUGUGCUGUGUAUCUUCAUAAAGAGCAGUGUCUGACCGUGAGUGUGCGUCUUGCCCUGAAGAUUAACCUCUGAUCCUUUCUGUCCACCUUCUGGAAGAACAUCAUGAUCGUCAGCACUCUGAUUCUCCUCUUCACUCUUCCUGCAGGUCUGGAAACUCUUGUGCUUACACAGGAGAAAGUGAUGUCUGUAAAAGCAGGAGAGCAUGUUAAGAUUUCCUGCAGAUCAGAUGCUUCUACAGAUUGGGUUUUAACAUGGUACCAACAAAAACCAGGAAAAGCUCCAACCUUCUUGCUCUAUGAUAGCACCAGAGCAAGUGGACUGCCCAGUCGAUUUACUUACAGUGGCUCUGGAUCACAAGAAUAUCUGCAUAUUAACGGUGUUGAGGCUGAAGAUGAAGCCGUCUAUUACUGUGCUUGCCACGGCUGUGUGGGAACCGGCACUGCGGUUUUCGGCGGAGGCACUGAAGUGUCUUUCGCUAUUUCAUCUCCUCCGUCCCUCGUUCUGCUGGCUCCCUCUCAGUCUCUCUCCUCAGGUGAUGAAGUCAGGGUGGUUUGUCUGGCGCAGGGUUUCCGUCCUGACAGCGCCACCCUGUCCUGGUCUGAUAACGGCGACGCCGUAGCGGGUGCAGAGGUGCAGACGAGCUCGUCCGAGCGUCAGUCUGACGGCACCUUCAUCCAAAGCAGCAUGCUGAAACUCAGCCCAGAGCGCUGGAGCUCCGGACGAACCUACACGUGCCACCUGAACCACCCGGCUCUGUCAGCACCGCUGAGUCAGAGCGCCAGCGCUGAAAAGUGCAGCUAGACGGCUGGAGAAAUGGACGUGCUGCACGUGUAGUAACGUGGUCAUGGGCAUGGAGAGGGGAGAAAGUGAUUCAAUCAUACGUUUUCUGAACAGCUGCUUUUGCUUCAUGUCUCAGUGUUUUCUACUCUGAGGUUUGCUGUGUUUCUGCUUGUUUUUAGAGACCAUGUGGAAUAUUUCAUGUUCCUGUAGAUGCUUUGCUAAUCACAACAGUUUUCCCCCAAUAAAAUGAUGAUGAGAAAAUGGUGUAUGGAACUCAUUAAGACAUAUUUGAACAUGGAUUCAAUUAUUUAGUUUAAGCUCAUAUAUUAAAAGAAAAUAAAUAAACUUACUGAUAAAUUGUUUUAUUUUAACUUCAUUUCAACUUUGAACUUAAGGUCAACCUAUCAACGUCAAGACUUUGGAAAACAACACUGAAUUAACAGAUUGCAAAAAUAAAAUUCUCAAUAAGGGAUGGGAAAAAAAGUUUUACAAAAUGUAUGCAUUACUUUAUGCAGUACAUACAGUAUUAUUGAUAAUUACUGAUAUUUCUUUUUUAAGUCUCAUUUUAUGGAGAUUACAGUUAAAAAAAAUAAUUAUAUUCAGUAUUUAAUCCUUACACAAUUUCCGUAAACCCACACCCACACACGUUGUUGUUCACCUUGAACAGGACAAAUAUGUAUAUAAUGUUCAUUAGUGGUGUUUCCUUUACUGAAGAUGAAUCUUUAUUUCAUUCUAUGGUGUAAUAUUUUUAUGUUCCAGGAGAGAUUUAUCAAAGUCUCCUUCUGGAAUCCCAAGAGAUCGAAUUUACAUACAGUUUCUGUUUAAGUUCCUUUUUUUAAAUGAGCUCCUCUCCUCAGGUUUCAGUCUUUCUCUCACUUCUUUCUUUAGUAAGUAAAGAUUAAACACUUGGGGGUGUGCUGUUUUAGGCAAAUAAUCAAUGAUCUUGUUUGGUGAUGAAGUCUGAGGAACAUGAACAUGAGGCAGACUUACUACUAUUACUCUGAAAUCGAUUCUUUUCCAAUAACAGCAUGUCUGAAAAUAU